GGGCUCCUAUAGAUACAGACACGCACGGAUAGAUCUCCAGCAGCAAGGACCGGCGGCGGAGCUGGAGAGCCGGAUCCCGCUGAAAGGAUGAAAACAUGGGGCUCAAGUUAUCCUGCCUGAAAGGCUUGAAGACGUGUGUGAGCAGCGGGAACGGCAGCGACCGGCCCCCGACGGCGUCCUCGGGGGAGAAGCACCUGCACGUGCCCUCCAUCAUCGUCACACCACCCACACCCACGGGGACCAUCCUGUCCCGAGAGGGGCGGAGGGCGG
Long non-coding RNA from Pipra filicauda (Wire-tailed manakin), 270 nucleotides. RefSeq lists it as uncharacterized. The record is from RefSeq and is a predicted model, not a curated record. The transcript is spliced from 3 exons. NCBI's taxonomy places the organism in Eukaryota, Metazoa, Chordata, Aves, Passeriformes, Pipridae.